GCUGGUGUGGUGGAAUUUGCAGCCUCGUCAGACUAAGGAUCUGGUGCCGCGAGGUGUGGGAGUUCGUAUCUCCCCACCCGCAC
This 83-nucleotide transfer RNA is filed under the name Yeosuana aromativorans. Its description in RNAcentral is "tRNA-Leu". It matches the Rfam family "tRNA". From Rfam's summary of the family: Transfer RNA (tRNA) molecules are approximately 80 nucleotides in length. Their secondary structure includes four short double-helical elements and three loops (D, anti-codon, and T loops). The record is from RNAcentral. Lineage: Bacteria; Pseudomonadati; Bacteroidota; Flavobacteriia; Flavobacteriales; Flavobacteriaceae.